AAUUAAUUGUAAUCUUGGUAACCAUGACAAUCAUGAAGUCAAUUAUUUGGCAAUAGUUGCAAUAAAUACUAAGAAUAAUAAAAUUCCUUUAUGGGCGUAGAAUUUACUUUGCUAUAUAUUUCCUAACGAGGCAUCGAGACCGAAAAUAAAGUUGAAGACAAGGCAAACAAAGGGACAGGCAGACAAGCUCAGGAUGAUUGUGUAAAUCAAUUUGUGCAAUAAAAGUUGGAUUUGUUUCAAGUCCAUGGCAUGGUUGUGGAUGCUUCUCUCUUACACCAUCAAUGAUGACAUUUUUUGUCGGAAUAGGUUUAAUGCAGGUGAAUGUUAUUGCUGAACAAGGCCUUCGAUUACCUCUGUGAAAAGAGUUUCGGCUGCUAAAAUUUCUGAUAAAAAACUUUCGAAAAUUAUAUAAAAGCUUACCUCGUUAUUGUUAAGUAUAAAAGAAUUACGAAAGUGAGGCCUUGAAAGUAUUCAAUUACAAUAACGAGACGUUGGACGCAAGUAAAAAUUUUAAUUUUAGAUUAAAUUUUGAACAUAAUAGGAGAACAUCAGCUAAAACAAUAGUUAAAAGGCAUGCAUAGCUACAAAU
This is a long non-coding RNA of Glossina fuscipes, 589 nucleotides long. RefSeq lists it as uncharacterized. NCBI's taxonomy places the organism in Eukaryota, Metazoa, Arthropoda, Insecta, Diptera, Glossinidae. The transcript is spliced from 3 exons. The record is from RefSeq and is a predicted model, not a curated record.